UAUGGCCAUAUUAUGUUGAUACACUGGUUCUUGUAUGAUCAACAAAGUUAAGCAAUGUUGAACCUAGUCACUAACUAGAUGGGUGACCACUUGGGAAUACCAGGUGCUGUAAG
This is a non-coding RNA of Acanthosepion pharaonis, 113 nucleotides long. The record is from the annotation of a GenBank genome assembly. Lineage: Eukaryota; Metazoa; Mollusca; Cephalopoda; Sepiida; Sepiidae.